Molecule: ribosomal RNA, 253 nt
Filed under: uncultured bacterium
Lineage: Bacteria
Description: partial 16S ribosomal RNA
Rfam family: Bacterial small subunit ribosomal RNA
Source: RNAcentral
UACGUAGGGGGCUAGCGUUGUCCGGAAUCAUUGGGCGUAAAGAGCGUGUAGGCGGUCCGGUAAGUCCGCUGUGAAAGUCGGGGGCUCAACCCUCGAAUGCCGGUGGAUACUGUCGGGCUAGAGUGCGGAAGAGGCGAGUGGAAUUCCUGGUGUAGCGGUGAAAUGCGCAGAUAUCAGGAGGAACACCUAUUGCGAAGGCAGCUCGCUGGGACGUAACUGACGCUAAGGAGCGAAAGCGUGGGGAGCGAACAGG